Long non-coding RNA from Oncorhynchus tshawytscha (Chinook salmon), 465 nucleotides. The record is from Ensembl. Lineage: Eukaryota; Metazoa; Chordata; Actinopteri; Salmoniformes; Salmonidae.
ACAACUACAGGUUUAAGAGGGGCCACGUCCAGGUCAUCCAAUAUGGCCGCCAGCGCUCUGGGAGAGGCAGGAAGAGGUGGGACUUGCUCAGGCUGUGUUACUUCCACCUCCGGUUUCCUCACAGAUUCACAUUCAGCUAGAGAGGAAGAGGAAGAUACUAACUCACUGAAGAGGAAGAUACUAACUCACUGAAGAGGAAGAUACUAACUCACUGAAGAGGUAGAGAGGAAGAGGAAGAUACUAACUCACUGAAGAGGAAGAGAGGAAGAUGCUAACUCACUGAAGAGGAAGAUACUAACUCACUGAAGAGGUAGAGAGGAAGAGGAAGAUACUAACUCACUGAAGAGGUAGAGAGGAAGAGGAAGAUACUAACUCACUGAAGAGGAAGAGGAAGAUACUAACUCACUGAAGAGGAAGAGGAAGAUACUAACUCACUGAAGAGGAAGAUACUAACUCACUGAAGAG